UAACUCAGUCAGACCACGCCA
RNAcentral lists this microRNA (21 nucleotides) under Capitella teleta. RNAcentral's name for it is "cte-miR-2688-3p". The record is from miRBase by way of RNAcentral. Lineage: Eukaryota; Metazoa; Annelida; Polychaeta; Capitellidae.